This 440-nucleotide ribosomal RNA is filed under the name uncultured bacterium. RNAcentral describes it as "partial 16S ribosomal RNA". It matches the Rfam family "Bacterial small subunit ribosomal RNA", at positions 338 to 795 of the family's 1533-position model. The record is from RNAcentral.
CCUACGGGAGGCAGCAGUGGGGAAUAUUGCACAAUGGGGGAAACCCUGAUGCAGCGACGCCGCGUGAGUGAAGAAGUAAUUCGUUACGUAAAGCUCUAUCAGCAGGGAAGAAAAUGACGGUACCUGAGUACGAAGCACCGGCUAACUCCGCGCCAGCAGCCGCGGUAAUACGUAGGGGGCAAGCGUUAUCCGGAGUUACUGGGUGUAAAGGGAGCGUAGAUGGUGCGCCAAGUCUGGCGUGAAAUGCCGCAGCUUAACUGCGGAACUGCUUUGGAAACUGGCGAACUAGAGUGCGGGAGGGGUAAGCAGAAUUCCAGGUGUAGCGGUGAAAUGCGUAGAUAUUAGGAGGAACACCGGUGGCGAAGGCGGCUUACUGGACCGUAACUGACGUUGAGGUUCGAAAGCGUGGGGAGCAAACAGGAUUAGAUACCCUUGUAGUC